UCUGAUCUGCAGCCAAAACAUGAAAACCAAACACAAUGGGAAUUCUCCUGAACUUGACUUGCCUUAGCUUUGUCUUUUGUAAUUCCAAAAAACUCUGUCUUUGAUACCUGAGGGAGAGUUUCCAUCCUUUUAGUGACAUGCCUUGCUGUGUAAUUAUGUGGAAAAAAUAGUGUCUCAGGGCAUAAUUAAGCUGCCAGUCUGAAGCGACAUACUGAGCUGUUAUACAGGCUGCAGGAUUUUUCUCCAGUUAUCCACAGGUCUGUCAUCACACCAAACCACCUGCUUCUUCACAUUCAGUCAAGGAUUUUGCAAAUGGAAAAGAUGAACUGCGCACUUUUGGAUCUAAUAAAGAAACAUGGAAUUUUUCCAAAAUCUUCCUGAGUUUUGAACAAAACGUGCAUCAGAGCCAUCAAAUUUGAUCUCUGAUUUCAUUAUGACAUCAUUAUCUUACAUAGAGUUGAUUUAUAAUUCUUGCAUGGUUAAUGUGUAGACUAAAUGAUAUUUAGACAAACCUAAAAUAAAAAAAUAAUAUUAAAAAGUCUGAUGCAAAAAAGAAUGUAAAAAUGGCCGCUAACCAUAUAAUUUCAAAUCAACCAACAACAGUCUAAACUGUCCAUACAGUCCAAUGUGAGGACAUGUCACAUGACAUUUUUCUCAUUUGGACAUCACUUUGAAUAAACAGAAAGCCAGUUUUUAAAAAUCUUAAAUUUAGUUUAUGGCAGUAUCCUCUUCCCACAACACACACACAGCAUACCAGCACUUUCAUCUGUAACUUUUAUUGUAAUCUGAGACUGGCAUAUGAGAGAAAUUAACAGUUUUAAGGUGGAUUACAAGACAUGACCAUAUCCCAGAGCCUAAACAGUGAUCAUAUUGCUGCAGGGCUGCAUAAUGCCUGGACAGCACAGGGCUACAGUUUACUGCGAACCAGAACAAUGUGUUCCCUCAAUCAAUAUCAGUACUCCAUUCAAGAGCAGCUACCCUCAUCCCAAAUGUGCAUCUGACAAAAUGAGCUCCUUCAGUCCCUGCAGGUUUUAGUUAAUGCUAUACAUUAUUACAACAUUCUGCUGUUAAACCAACACCGUAACACACAGUAGGACAUUACUGAGCAUCAUGAUGGUGGCCUGAUUGAUUGCAGUGGACUCAAUGUUAGGCCUUGUUUCAGCGGUUACAGACUAAUGCUAUGGUAUUAUUGUCCAAGAGUAUAAGGAGAAUUUGAUGGCCUCUCUGAUGUUAAUAACAAUGUAGUCAGCAGCCAUGCAGGAGUCUGGCCUCCUGGUCUGUUAUUUCACUGUCUGGUCAACGCGACUAGCUAUAAAUGUGUGGGUACAACGCCACAAAAGAUACAAUCACUUAAACUCAGCCUAAGCUUAUCAUAAAACCGACAUUUUCAAUCUGAAUAUACCGACUGAUCUCAUUCAAUGGAGGCGGCAACAGCUGCCCUGUGCUAACGUUAAACAAUGGUAGCUAACGUUAGCUGAUGUUACCACAAAGCUCGGUGUGUCCACUCCCCCCCAUUGUAACAAGUAGCUACAAACUAAAAUAUCAAGAUGAGAAAGAGACUCAGCUGUGAUUUGAAACUACAUUGUGAGUAAUUUCAAACCAAGCCGUUAACGUUGUGGGAAAGCUUUUGUUACUAAAAAGAUAACUUAGCAACGAUUGCUAACGUAACGUUGCCGUUACUGAGACAACGCGGUGGAUAACGUUAGAGUAUGCAGGUUUAGAUUUUGGUGAGUAACGUUACGCCCCAUAUGUGACUAUCACUUGAAAAUACCACAAAGCACGUGGUUUGUUGUAACGUUUAGAUUCGUAAAAAAAUAAGGCAUAAGUAAAAUAUACUGUAGCGUUAAAAAGUGGCGACGAUAGCCGCAACGUUAGACCGUGUUCAGCCGCACUGGCUCGGCAGCUGUGUCGGGGCUGGUCCCGUCUCAACAGCGGCUGACACAGCAACGUCAAGGGGUUUGGAGCCUGUCCCCCCACUAUGCACUGACAGAGACCGGGGAAACACCAUGGACAGUUUCCAAGACUGCCACAGGGAUUAUUAAGGGCUCAGGACAGUUUUUAACUCCUUUACAGUUCGAGUGACACUCCGGCUCUCCCUGUCUCCACCCACCCACUCUCCCCUGGUGUUCAGCGGUUGCUCCUGCUGACCUAGAGGCCUGAUUGGCUGCCCAGUUUGGGG
Long non-coding RNA from Siniperca chuatsi (mandarin fish), 2179 nucleotides. RefSeq lists it as uncharacterized. NCBI's taxonomy places the organism in Eukaryota, Metazoa, Chordata, Actinopteri, Centrarchiformes, Sinipercidae. The record is from RefSeq and is a predicted model, not a curated record. The transcript has 3 exons.